GACGUAGGGCGCGAGCGUUGUCCGGAUUUAUUGGGCGUAAAGAGCUCGUAGGCGGCUUGUUGCGUCGUCCGUGAAAUUCCAUGGCUCAACUGUGGGCUUGCGGUCGAUACGGGCAGGCUAGAGUUCGGUAGGGGAGACUGGAAUUCCUGGUGUAGCGGUGAAAUGCGCAGAUAUCAGGAGGAACACCGGUGGCGAAGGCGGGUCUCUGGGCCGAUACUGACGCUGAGGAGCGAAAGCAUGGGGAGCAAACAGG
Molecule: ribosomal RNA, 253 nt
Filed under: uncultured bacterium
Lineage: Bacteria
Description: partial 16S ribosomal RNA
Rfam family: Bacterial small subunit ribosomal RNA
Source: RNAcentral